This 242-nucleotide ribosomal RNA is filed under the name uncultured bacterium. Its description in RNAcentral is "partial 16S ribosomal RNA". It matches the Rfam family "Bacterial small subunit ribosomal RNA", at positions 98 to 334 of the family's 1533-position model. The record is from RNAcentral.
GCGAACGGGUGAGUAACACGUGGGUAACCUGCCCUUCAAACUGGGAUAACUAUUGGAAACGAUAGCUAAUACCGGAUAGGUAGUAGUGAGGCAUCUCAUUACUAUUAAAGAUGCGUUUUGCAUCAUUGAAGGAUGGACCCGCGGUGUAUUAGCUAGUUGGUGAGGUAACGGCCCACCAAGGCGAUGAUACAUAGCCGACCUGAGAGGGUGACCGGCCACAUUGGGACUGAGACACGGCCCAA